Molecule: ribosomal RNA, 253 nt
Filed under: uncultured bacterium
Lineage: Bacteria
Description: partial 16S ribosomal RNA
Rfam family: Bacterial small subunit ribosomal RNA
Source: RNAcentral
UACGUAGGGGGCAAGCGUUGUCCGGAUUUACUGGGCAUAAAGAGCGUGUAGGCGGCCACGCAGGUCCGUUGUGAAAACUGGAGGCUCAACCUCCAGCUGUCGACGGAAACCGUAUGGCUAGAGUCCGGAAGAGGAGAGUGGAAUUCCUGGUGUAGCGGUGGAAUGCGCAGAUAUCAGGAGGAACACCAAUAGCGAAGGCAGCUCGCUGGGACGGUACUGACGCUGAGGCGCGAAAGCUAGGGGAGCAAACAGG